Molecule: microRNA precursor, 95 nt
Organism: Homo sapiens (human)
Lineage: Eukaryota; Metazoa; Chordata; Mammalia; Primates; Hominidae
Gene: MIR517C
Product: microRNA 517c
Source: Ensembl
GAAGAUCUCAGGCAGUGACCCUCUAGAUGGAAGCACUGUCUGUUGUCUAAGAAAAGAUCGUGCAUCCUUUUAGAGUGUUACUGUUUGAGAAAAUC